CUUGCUGCACAAGGGCUACAGGGAUGUGCUGAAGUGGCAUGGGAGGGUGGAAAUGGGGCUGUCCCAUUUUAGUGAUACUAGGUUAUCUGUAAAACUGCAUGCUUUAAUUUUUUCUUAAAAAAUAGAAAUAGUGAUUUGAUGUCUGAGGCAUAGAAAAGAAAUGGUGUGUUUCUGGACCUAGGGAUUAGCAGUGAGAAAUCAGAUAUGACCAGACCAAACCUCAGCUGAGGUUUCAGGUUUAUGUUUAUGUGAUCCAAGAGACACCAGCAACAUGAGGCUGCCCUUGCAUGCACUUUGCACAGGAAAGAUCACCCUGGGUCUCUGAAAUCCCCACGGAGCAGCUCCUCUGCCGGGCUGGGUUUGGGUUGGCUCCCUGUGUCUGGCCAGCCAGCCGGAGGAGCCAGGACGUGUAACAGCCUGUCGCCAUCCCUACAGAACAGCUCUCAACCUUCAGAGGCCAAAAACCAGUGCAAAAGGAGCCUCUGCCAUCACCCUUGCUGUGUCCCUCCACCAGGCAGCCUGGGCUCCAGUUCCACCACACUAAAACCAUCGAGGCAGUGCCCAGCUGUCCCUGGGCUCUCCCACCUGCGAGAGCACUGGUGCCAGCCCCAGGACACAGAGAACAACUCUCAGUCUGCAAAAGCAAAGAAAGAACUGCACACUGAGAGAAAGUUCUGCUUAGUUUACAGGUUGCUUUUAUUUACAAAUAUACUGAAGUGUAAUCUCUCUCUUA
Vidua chalybeata is the source of this 733-nucleotide long non-coding RNA. RefSeq lists it as uncharacterized. The record is from RefSeq and is a predicted model, not a curated record. The transcript has 2 exons. Lineage: Eukaryota; Metazoa; Chordata; Aves; Passeriformes; Viduidae.